Mauremys reevesii (Reeves's turtle) is the source of this 549-nucleotide long non-coding RNA. RefSeq lists it as uncharacterized. The transcript has 4 exons. The record is from RefSeq and is a predicted model, not a curated record. Lineage: Eukaryota; Metazoa; Chordata; Testudines; Geoemydidae.
CAGUUAUAGAACAAUACAGAAAUGAGGAUUUCACAUCCCAGCUAUUGAUAAAUUUCCAGUGCUUCCUGCUUCUAGUCAGGCUGGAAAUACAUAACCUGUGUCAUGGUACUUCUGCUACUGGGCUUGGAAAAAGGAGUAAAAGGACUUCAGCAGCAGGGUGGAUAGAGGAUCCCCACCUAUCCAACAUCACCACUGGGAUACUCAGGAUCUCCUUUAAUGUCAAUAAUAUUAGGCACUCAGUGAUCACAAUGGUAAGGGCUGAGAAAAGGAAGGAAUAAUCGAACUGGAGCCCUGAGCUCAGGUGUGCCACCAAACAUCUGUAAUGUCUAUGUAAAUAAAGUGAAAUGGGAGGCAGUGGAGUCUCAGCAAACAUGAUAUACCAGGGCCCCUAAUUUCUCUUGAUGGGCCUGACAAUGUGCUAGGUGAAGAAUCAAAGAAGGCAUGCUCCCUGCCCAGGAAAGCUUACGUUUUGUAAAGUUAAUACUGUGCAGCUGGACAUUAAUUUCCUGUAAUAGUUUUGAGCCAGUUUACCAUAUCAAAAAUAUUUUG